GGUGUCUCUUCGCCCCCUCAGAAGAGGCUGCUAGCAGCGGGAAUGUAAACCUGCAGAUGAAAAACAAUUGUGAGGAGGAAUCCAGUUAAAUCGGGGGGCUGUUGACCAGGUGGCGCUGUAGACGGGGCGAGAUGAGUUCUGACUGUGGCGCUGCGAUCUUUGAUUCCUCUCCCCGUCACUGGGACAGUGGCUCCAGUCGUUCUCCCCCCCGGUGCUUCACAUGUAGGAUGCCUUUUAUUAAGCCGUGGUUUUCCAGUGAGGAUCCAAACAGCACGCCGGAUGACGUUGUCUUACACCUUAGACUCCUUCGGAUAAGUGUCCCCUUGCCAGGCUAGCUAAGCAUCAGGUUCAUGGGCACCACAGUCAUCACCCUGGAGGAAGUGCAGGCGCUGGAGGACAAGGAGGAGCAAGAGGAAUCCACCCUGGCCUUGUUAGGCAUCAUUGGCACGUUCCUUAACCUCUUUGUAAUUGUUUUUGUUUACGUUUACACCACGCUGUGAAGUGCAAACCUUAUUAGGCUCUAAAAACCUGUCGCCAGAAAAGACUUCUCUAAGAAAUUAGGGAUGUUGGGCGGUGAUCUGUCGCACAAGCCGUGUGACUUUUGACCUUUCCUGUCAUGUGUGUGCCAAUAAAACAUUGAGGGGAGUCGGGAAGCAAAGGUCAACGACAAAGUGACAUAUUGGGGGAGGUUGAUAUGAACAUCUUCCUCAGAGGGAGGAGGAAGCAGGACAGGCUAGAUAUGGCUGAAGAUGAAGAAGCCAUAUUCACCAAGUCACACCCAUGAGCCGGGCAGAGAACUAAGGGCUGGCAGCCAUGGCAGCAACUAGGCUGAGCAGAGCCAGCAAGCCCCCUGUGGCCUGAUGGGAAACACAAACUUGCACUUGAUCGGCUUUUUCUUGACUCCUGCACUGGCAGGAAAGAUGAGCCAAACAAGACAUUGAGGGUUCUCCAUUCAUCCUUUGUUAACGUUUCAGUUGGUGGGACUACGAAAGCGACCUGCACUGAAGGGAUUUUAGGAAACAAGAUUUUCAGCAGGGGGGAAACCACUAACUGUGCUGUGGGGAUUCAUUGUUCUACUGCAGCUUCAGGGCCUCUGCCCACAGACGGAGCUCUGAAUGAGCUCUCCUGUAAUGCAAGUUCCUAAAUGAACGGCUGGAUCAAAUAUAAUACAAUAUGUGACACAAAUCUAACAUGAUCAAGGUUACUGGGUUGAGCCAGAAAUGAAAAAUAAUGAAAAAUGUAGCUCUUUUUACAGAUUAAAGUGAGCCUAUUUUCCACAUUU
This is a non-coding RNA of Gasterosteus aculeatus aculeatus (three-spined stickleback), 1282 nucleotides long. The record is from RefSeq and is a predicted model, not a curated record. NCBI's taxonomy places the organism in Eukaryota, Metazoa, Chordata, Actinopteri, Perciformes, Gasterosteidae.